This 68-nucleotide small nuclear RNA is filed under the name Pteropus vampyrus (large flying fox). The record is from RNAcentral. Lineage: Eukaryota; Metazoa; Chordata; Mammalia; Chiroptera; Pteropodidae.
CGCAAAGAAGAUUAGCAUGGCCCCUGCGCAAGGAUGAUAUACAAAUUCAUGAAGUGUUCGAUAUUUUU